AUGAACCCCACUUUGCCACUCCAGUUGAGAUCUGGGGCUCGGUCUUCGUGCCCUGGUUUCCUUGUUUUGAGAGAGGGCUACUCACGUGGUGUCUACCAGAAACACCUGGGCUGCAUGGAAGACUUCGAGGGCCCAGACCUGGGAACAGCCACUACAGCCAGGAUGCACCGGGAUCCCGGGGAGCGCCCGCAGCUAGGCUGUCCUCGCUGUCAGCUUGAGUCUGAUGUCCCCAGCCCCCAGGCGGGCAGAAGCACAGCAUUUCGCAGGAAGGAAGAAUUCCACACCGCAAGUAAGAUCUCGCUGAUUUGGGAAGAGAAACAGCAGCUCACGUCCUUCAAGACCAAGGUCAAGGGCGUGGUGGAGGACGGAUUACAACAUCUAAACGCAGAGGAAAAUAAAAAGAAACUGGUCCCAAAUCCAAGUUUAUGGAAACCCACCAAGGGAAAUUCAUUUUCGAGAGUAUAUGUGCAUAUAACAAUCUUGCAAAAGGGCAUUGUCUGUGAGGCUCAGGAUUUGGAAGACUCGCACUGCUGUGGAUGUGAAAUGUAAGAUGUUCUUCACUCUAGAGAACAGGCUGGUAUUUCGUUGAUACGGCUCUGUCCUGCGACUGCCCCUCAGUCACACCUUCGGUCCACACCCAGCCCUGCACACUUAGAUCCACGGAGCACGAUGCCAGUGGCCAGCAGGUCCCCUGCUGACGGAGGGAAAGUAAAGUUGCCUGUCCACGGCAGGGAGUGCUGGUCAGCUGCCGAAAGGCAGGAAGCACUGACCCGAAACAGCUCGUGUGAACCCGGGAAAUACUGUGCUGAGUGAAUGAAACCAGGCACACAGAGCCACAUACCACACGAUGAUCCCUUUCCCAUCAAACACAUAGGCUGGGAAAUCCAUAGCCACAGAGAGCGGAGUGUGGUCGCCAGGGGAAAUGUGGAAUGCGAGGUGUCUGCCAGAAUAUCUGGGAGAAAAUAUUCUGGAGUCAGCGUUGAUGGUUGCACGACCUUAUGAAGACUGUGUGCAAUAGACAGGAAGUUUUAUGCAUACGAAUUGUACCCUAAUAAAACAAGAAGUAAAAGUCAAG
RNAcentral lists this long non-coding RNA (1075 nucleotides) under Fukomys damarensis (Damara mole-rat). RNAcentral describes it as "lncRNA (ENSFDAG00000030840.1)". The record is from RNAcentral. Lineage: Eukaryota; Metazoa; Chordata; Mammalia; Rodentia; Bathyergidae.